Molecule: ribosomal RNA, 253 nt
Filed under: uncultured bacterium
Lineage: Bacteria
Description: partial 16S ribosomal RNA
Rfam family: Bacterial small subunit ribosomal RNA
Source: RNAcentral
GACAGAGGAGGCGAGCGUUGUUCGGAAUCAUUGGGCUUAAAGCGCGUGUAGGCGGCUCCGUAAGUGUCUUGUGAAAUCCCGUGGCUCAACCACGGAACUGCUGGGCAUACUGCGGGGCUUGAGGUUGGUAGAGGUGCCUGGAACUCUUGGUGGAGCGGUGAAAUGUGUAGAUAUCAAGAGGAACGCCGGAGGCGAAAGCGGGGCACUGGGCCAAAUCUGACGCUGAGACGCGAAAGCGUGGGGAUCAAACAGG